Molecule: long non-coding RNA, 5099 nt
Organism: Salvelinus sp. IW2-2015
Lineage: Eukaryota; Metazoa; Chordata; Actinopteri; Salmoniformes; Salmonidae
Source: RefSeq, a predicted model, not a curated record
GUUUGUGAUGAAUGACAGGUUGUUUCUUCAUGCAUAAUAGAUUUGGCCUUUCCAAUUCAAUUAAGCUGCUUUAUUUUCAGGAUUUGGUGAAGGUGAGUCAUUUCUGAGUAAACAGGGGAGUAAACAGUAUGUUAAGACUACACAGGGUUAGGUCAAGUAUUUACAAGGUGUCUAGUCAUUUCUGGUCGUUAAUGUCUAAUUGACCACACAUUGGUGCAAGUUGAAGCGUAGUCAAUGCUACACAGGUGUCUGUAGUCUAGGUGCUCGUUAUAAGUGCUUGAAAUCAUAGAUUGACGCCUUUGCGGUGUUCCAGAGCAUCAAGACUGAUCGAUCAAGGGUGAAUUGUGACUGAAUUGCUGAGCUACAAAUAAUAUGAAGUAGUUAUUUAUAAAUCAAGGUUAAUCUAAAUCAGUCUGGACUUGCCUUAAAAGUUGUCUGCAACGUGCCUCCAACAAGUAAUUGACACAGUUGUGACUGACUCCUUCAAAGCCGUCGGCCAGCUCUGUCACAUCAACCUUCUAAUUGAAGUGAAAGGACGUGACCCUCCAAUCUAAAAUAUAUCUCGUACAGUGGAAACACUUGAGCCUCUGCGUUGUCCGUGUCAGCAAUAACUCAUCACUCCUACUCCAGAAUGCCAAAGAGAAAGGGGGCCCCAACUUGAUGACAUUGCCUCAGUUGUUGAAAGGCUAGGUCUCUCCGAGGAAGUUACAGCAGCGAGCGACCAUCAGGAAAAUGUAUUAUUUUCUGUCAUGGUCAUUGAACUGGAAAGGUGUAACACCCUCAGCUAUCGCCGUCAACUCUACGAUGUGUGGAAUAAGGGAAGGAUGGCCUAUGCACAACCCCACUCCGUCUCCCAGAUUUCCCCUACACUACCCCAGGUCCCCCCAAUCACUACCCCAGCAAGUAUACGCCACGCGGCAGCUGCCUUUAACACCAGCACAAGCAGCUGAAAUGAUUGAAACGGUUGAUCCCGCCAAGGUAUCCCACCUUCCACCACUCCAACUCUAGCCUGGAGACAUUUUUCUGUUUGCAGGUAGUUCCUCGUCAUGUGAGGACGAAGGCGGACCAAAAAAGUUGGUUUCAGAAGGGAUCCCACAGCCUUCCUUGCCGUAAACCAAAACGAAGGGUGCGGUACUAUGCAGGAAAGGAAGCACCAGGGCUCCAAAAAAGGGAGUAUGAGUUGCUUCACCAGCCUGAUACUCCUGUGCUAAUUCACUACUUUGGUGAGGAGGCACCCUCCAAUGUCCCCCACCCCCACGGCAACAGCCAACAGCAGCAAGCAAGGGAUUUCAUCAGAUCAGCUACCUCCAAUUAUAGAUGAAAUGUCCCGGCGAAAGACUGAAACACCUGGCAAAGUAAACUCGGACAUGACCAAUAACCCACCACCACCCCCAAAUGCAUCAUUCAUGCCAGUUUACCAACCUCGCAAUUUGGCACAAGUGAAGAACACAAUUCGUCGAGCAAGGGACGUCACUGUUUUGGACCGGGACGAGUUGGUGGCAAAACAUAUGAUGGGUGACAUUCUCCCCGGAUUUGUCACCCAUAUGGAGACUCAACCCGCAACCCUUCUGGUAGUGGCAGCACCAGAAAUAGUUGAAGAGGCCAAGGCAGUUAUUAAAAGCAAACACCAAGGAGCACACAUUUUUCACAAUGACACCACGUUUGACCUCKGCAAUUUUAAUGUUUCACCCCUUUCCGUCAUGUAGCAUUUCAAGAGGCACCUGUCCUUCCCCUGUCAUUCCUCAUUCACACCACAUGGAAAACCACAAACAGUUCUUUCGCACCAUCCUUUCACUCCUUCCCCAACUAUCAACUUCAAUCUUCUGCACAGACCAUGAGGCGGCUAUUGAGGGAGCAAUCCAGUCUGUGCUGCCGCAAGCCAGGAUUGUCAAUUGCUGGAACCACAUCUCGAACAAUGUGAAGCAGAAGAUGGGGUCAGAGGGUGCCGAAGGUGUGGCCGAUUACCAGCAGGCCAUCAAAGAGCUCUUGGCCACGAAAUCAAGGAGUGACUACGAAUGCACACUGKAGAGUGUGCCUCCUGGAGCCCUGAUUUUGAGGCUUAUUUCCAUCAGUCGCUCUCUGAUGCCAUGGACAAGGGUGCACAAUAUGUGCUCAACAGCUUGGGCAUCCAGUCAGAUGGAAUUACCAACAACUGCUCAGAGCUUCAAUGCUGUCAAGGCAUUGGUUGGAUGGAAGGUCAGAGUAGAUAAACCAAUUUAUCUACUCUACCAACUCCAAACCAAUGCCUUGAGGGAGGUGCUGCGUGGCUACUGUAACCUAGGGAAUUUCCACCUGACCCCAGAGUGCCAUGAGCAAUUUUCCAGGUGAAUGCCCACCACCAGUUUCCCCUACCACAUGUCAGAGGAAGACAUGGUGUCUUUUACUGAAGGCAUCCAGUCCUGUGUGGCACAAGAGGUUGUCAUGGCAGAAACUGGCGCGGAGGCCUUAGCCAGGAUGAUUUUGGCAAAAGGACGUAUCUUCCUGGUGCCAAGCACCAAAUCAUUCCUCUACCAGGGCUUCUCAGACAAGCAGCAUGUUGUUACUCUUGCCAAUAGAGACGUGCUCCUGCUCUGCAUCUGACAGUGCCCAGAGUUGUGUCCGCCGACUGGCAGCUGUACCGGCCAUUAGCAGAAGUGUACAGUCCUAUGCCAAUAAAGCUGAGGACAAGGCAUCUGGCCACAAAACGCUCUGGCCAUAAGUGUGCCACCAAGGAGCAUGUCCAGACAGGAGCCAAACACCAGGAAGAACAAUCGACCGUUAAUCAACAGGGUGACCUGUCCCUGUCUGACAAACACCCCAGCAGGGAUGAUGAAUUGGAGAGUAGAGUGACGCAAGUGUGGGCAAUGUCGGAGUGAGUGGACAGGGCAACCACAAUUUUGUUGGAGGGAUCCUUUGCCAUCCUGCACCUCCAUGACUUCCUUACGUUGAAGCCCAAUGAGUGGCUUAGUGGGAAGGUAUGUUAAGGUCCCCCACAUGUUAUGGUUGAAUUGUAUGAAAUUUCCAUGCGUGCAGUUGGUAUAAAGUACAAUUAGUUGUUGCUUGGGCUGACUGUAUUGCCUGGGCAUUAUGUCAACUUUGACCAACCAUAUGCCAUUCUGCUUUAAGUAAUUGACUUCUACUUCCAACUGAAGAGUAUUGACCUUCAAGUGGAGGGGGAUGUUUUUAUUGUGGAUCACUUUGUGGCAKGGAUUAUCCUGCAUGGGGAUAAGGUGAACACCUUGUCAAAGGUAAAGGUAUGUCCGCAGAGUUGCUUUUGUGUCAUGGUUCUAAAUAAGAGGCUAGAGGGGUCAAUGUAGGGAGCGCUGCCACCUUCCUGACAAAAGAUUGCCUGCCACACCGUAUAAAUGUAUCUUCACUCCUAUUCCUGUAGACCAGUCUGGAGCGGCACAGUUGCUGGGUUGGAGUUUUGCAACGUGGGGAAACUACCACUGGAUACUCUUGUAUGUCAAUUGCAGGACCCACUCUACCAUUGUCCUGGACCAUACUGGUUCCCCUAACGCGGAGAGCCAUAUGAGUGAGAACCUGGUGAAGCACAUCAGGGGGUGACUGCCGCACACACUGGAGACAAUUGAUUGGUUCCCAAGUAACUCACGCCAUCCCUUCAAGGUUUGCAAUAAAGACAGUUCACAUAUGGAAACAAUGUUUCCUUCUUACCUCCUUUGCCAUAUUCCUUGCUGAUAUUCUGCAUAGCAACGGGGACAUGUGAAAGACGAGCCUGACUUCUCCCCUCUCUGGGCCCAGGUGACUGAGGCCCAUAUGAGGGAGGCAGUGCAGCUGCCAACACCUGAGUCGGAAAGGAGACAUUCUAAUGACAAGUUCAAUCAUAUAAGCAUAUUCUGCAGAUAAGACAUCUUAAUUAUCUGUUACUUAGCUAAUUCUGAUUUCUACACCCCAGUACUUUCCCACAACUGAGUACAUCUAUUGUAUGGUCAGGCAAAAAUAUUGUUUGACCAUUUCUACAAUAUCCGGCAUACCAGGUAAGUUGACCUGUCAAUGUUGAGACUACUUUUAUGGUCCGGUUGCAUAUUGACUCAAUUAGCCUAUGUGUUCAUGUUAUGAAUGUUGUAUGCUAUGAAGAGAAUUAUGAAGCAUUGAUUUCUGUUCAGGCAUGCCGUUUUCAAUCAUGAGCAGYCAUUCAUGYGUUAUGCCAGUGUAUGAAUGUUGGAAGUAUAACAGUGAGGAGAGAAUGUCAUGGCCUAUGUAGAAACAAUUAAUGUUUUCCUCCCCAAACAGAUACUGGUUUGAGGAAUGAACUGGUACAGAAUCUGUGUUCAGCAAUGUUCCCUGGCAGGCGACAACAAUACCGCACACCAAGCAAAGCGACGGCUACAAUUGGGGAGUUUAUGUGCUGCUGAUUGACAGCGUUAAUGCAGAGGGAGAAGGCACUAAGUGACCCAACUGUCCCAAUGCAUGUUAACAUCGGUGGUGCCAGAAUGGAGGUGGCCAAAGAGAUCCUGGACAAAGAACUUGACAGGAAACUCAACUGCAGUUGAGGGGGGCAACUGUGUGAGAAUAAUUUUACACAUUCACAUGGAGUGCUCCAGUUGAUCCUACACCUCCUGUGCUGGGGUAUCCAUCAUCAUUUAAAAUCAACACAUGGAUAAUCCUGCCUUACGAUGGAUAUGCCCACCCUGCCACAAUUGAAUACCUGCACACCAAGGCUACUAUUGGGUUGAUACUGUGUCAAAUUGAUAUAAUGUCCAGAGGUGUAAACGAUUUACAGGGUAUAUUUUWGGGCUGUCCCAACGGGAAAAAAUCUUGGUCGACUUGGUCUUCCUGUUCUUUCCACCAAUCGAUUGGUUUAAAUGUAUUUUUCCAUAUAGACAGACACGCCCUAUGUGUUUGAAGAACCCACUACAUAUGCAAUGAGCUUGUCUGAUGUUGAAGCACACUGUUGGAUUCAUUUAUUUUUGCUGUUGCAUGAGGCUUGACGCUCAUGGAAUCAGUAAGCUAUUAAACACUCACAGCCAAUAGAAGCAGGAACGGUCUUAUUUCUGUAGAUGUAUAAAGCCAGGGUAUUCUGCCCUUGAGUUGCGUUCCCAUGCAAAACUAGACAGAUGGCUAACGACUAAGUCUUCAAUAAAACUCCCAAGGCGUGA